CGAAGCCUGGACAAGCAGAACGACCAGAGAGUUAGUUAA
This 39-nucleotide ribosomal RNA is filed under the name Cuphea salvadorensis. RNAcentral describes it as "partial 18S ribosomal RNA". Lineage: Eukaryota; Viridiplantae; Streptophyta; Magnoliopsida; Myrtales; Lythraceae. The record is from RNAcentral.